RNAcentral lists this ribosomal RNA (514 nucleotides) under uncultured bacterium. RNAcentral's name for it is "bacterial SSU rRNA". It matches the Rfam family "Bacterial small subunit ribosomal RNA", at positions 38 to 558 of the family's 1533-position model. The record is from RNAcentral.
GGCGGCGCACAUAAGACAUGCAAGUCGAACGGACUUAACCGAAGUAUUUAUAUUUUGGAGCGGUUAGUGGCGGACUGGUGAGUAACACGUAAGCAACCUGCCUAUUAGAGGGGAAUAACAGUGAGAAAUCAUUGCUAAUACCGCAUAUGCUGUGAGUAUCGCAUGAUACAAACAGGAAAGGAGCAAUCCGCUAAUAGAUGGGCUUGCGUCUGAUUAGAUAGUUGGUGGGGUAACGGCCUACCAAGUCGACGAUCAGUAGCCGAACUGAGAGGUUGAACGGCCACAUUGGGACUGAGAUACGGCCCAGACUCCUACGGGAGGCAGCAGUCGGGAAUAUUGCACAAUGGAGGGAACUCUGAUGCAGUGACGCCGCGUGCAGGAAGAAGGUUUUCGGAUUGUAAACUGCUUUAAACAGGGAAGAAACAAGACAGUACCUGUAGAAUAAGCUCCGGCUAACUACGUGCCAUCAGCCGCGGUAAUUCGUAAGGAGCAAGCGUUAUCCGGAUUUAUUGGG